AUUGAACGCUGGCGGCAGGCCUAACACAUGCAAGUCGAGCGGAUGAAGGGAGCUUGCUCCUGGAUUUAGCGGCGGACGGGUGAGUAAUGCCUAGGAAUCUGCCUGGUAGUGGGGGAUAACGUCCGGAAACGGGCGCUAAUACUGCAUACGUCCUGAGGGAGCAAGUGGGGGAUCUUCGGACCUCACGCUAUCAGAUGAGUCUAGGUCGGAUUAGUUAGCUGGUGGGGUAAAGGCCUACCAAGGCGACGAUCCGUAACUGGACUGAGAGGAUGAUCAGUCACACUGGAAGUGAGACACGGACCAGACUCCUGCGGGAGGCAGCAGUGGGGAAUAUUAGACAAUGGGCGAGAGCCUGAUCCAGCCAUGCCGCGUGUGUGAAGAAGGUCUUCGGAUUGUAAAGCACGUUAAGUUGGGAGGAAGGGCAGUAAGUUAAUACCUUGCUGGUUUGACGUUACCAACAGAAUAAGCACCGGCUAACUUCGUG
RNAcentral lists this ribosomal RNA (484 nucleotides) under uncultured bacterium. RNAcentral's name for it is "partial 16S ribosomal RNA". It matches the Rfam family "Bacterial small subunit ribosomal RNA", at positions 30 to 507 of the family's 1533-position model. The record is from RNAcentral.